RNAcentral lists this ribosomal RNA (709 nucleotides) under Phytophthora syringae. RNAcentral's name for it is "partial 28S large subunit ribosomal RNA". It matches the Rfam family "Eukaryotic large subunit ribosomal RNA", at positions 81 to 631 of the family's 3401-position model. The record is from RNAcentral. Lineage: Eukaryota; Oomycota; Peronosporomycetes; Peronosporales; Peronosporaceae.
UAGUAACGGCGAGUGAAGCGGGAAGAGCUCAAGCUUAAAAUCUCCGUGCAAGUUUUGCGCGGGGAAUUGUAGUCUAUAGAGGCGUGGUCAGUGAGGGCGCUCGGGGCAAGUUCCUUGGAAGAGGACAGCAUGGAGGGUGAUACUCCCGUUCAUCCCUGAGUGGCUCUUGCGUACGACCCGUGUUCUUUGAGUCGCGUUGUUUGGGAAUGCAGCGCAAAGUAGGUGGUAAAUUCCAUCUAAAGCUAAAUAUUGGUGCGAGACCGAUAGCGAACAAGUACCGUGAGGGAAAGAUGAAAAGAACUUUGAAAAGAGAGUUAAAGAGUACCUGAAACUGCUGAAAGGGAACCGAAUCGUUUCCAGUGUCUAUAAUCUGUGGCAUAUUUCAUUGACGAGUGUGUGUGUGCGUGUGCUGUGGCAGUGGCUUUUUUGGCUGCGCUCGGCGUGUGUGCUGCGUGUGCUUGUUGGUGCCCUGUGCUGCGGUGGGACGUCAAGGUCAGUUCGUAUGCUGCGGGAAAUGGCUGCCGAGGAGGUAGGGCUUACGCUCCGCGUUUGUCUGUUAUAUCUUGGUGGACGAGUCGUCGCGGUUGGGACUGAGGUGCCUACAACGUGCUUUUGAGUGAGUGUGUGUCUCCGUGUGCGCCGUGUGCGAUAGCUUGCUAUGCGUGUGUGGUUGUGCGUGGAUUGAUGCGUGCUUUAGCUGUCGCCGUUC